Molecule: ribosomal RNA, 490 nt
Filed under: uncultured bacterium
Lineage: Bacteria
Description: partial 16S ribosomal RNA
Rfam family: Bacterial small subunit ribosomal RNA
Source: RNAcentral
AUUGAACGCUGGCGGCAUGCUUUACACAUGCAAGUCGAACGGCAGCGGGGUAGUGCUUGCACUACUGCCGGCGAGUGGCGAACGGGUGAGUAAUAUAUCGGAACGUACCGAGUAAUGGGGGAUAACCAAUCGAAAGAUUGGCUAAUACCGCAUACGUCCUGAGGGAGAAAGCGGGGGAUCGCAAGACCUCGCGUUAUUCGAGCGGCCGAUAACUGAUUAGCUAGUUGGUGGGGUAAAGGCCUACCAAGGCGACGAUCAGUAGCGGGUCUGAGAGGACGAUCCGCCACACUGGGACUGAGACACGGCCCAGACUCCUACGGGAGGCAGCAGUGUGGAAUUUUGGACAAUGGGGGCAACCCUGAUCCAGCCAUGCCGCGUGUAUGAAGAAGGCCUUCGGGUUGUAAAGUACUUUUGUUAGGGAAGAAAAGGGAAGUGCUAAUACCACUUUUUGCUGACGGUACCUAAAGAAUAAGCACCGGCUAACUACGUG